This 76-nucleotide transfer RNA is filed under the name Sulfolobales archaeon HS-7. It matches the Rfam family "tRNA". From Rfam's summary of the family: Transfer RNA (tRNA) molecules are approximately 80 nucleotides in length. The record is from Rfam by way of RNAcentral. Lineage: Archaea; Thermoproteati; Thermoproteota; Thermoprotei; Sulfolobales.
GCGGCCGUCGUCUAGCUUGGAUUAGGACGCAAGCCUGCCACGCUUGAGAUCCCGGGUUCAAAUCCCGGCGGCCGCA